AUUGAACGCUGGCGGCAUGCUUUACACAUGCAAGUCGAACGGUAACAGGCCGCAAGGUGCUGACGAGUGGCGAACGGGUGAGUAAUGCAUCGGAACGUGCCCAGUCGUGGGGGAUAACGCAGCGAAAGCUGCGCUAAUACCGCAUACGAUCUAUGGAUGAAAGCGGGGGACCGUAAGGCCUCGCGCGAUUGGAGCGGCCGAUGUCAGAUUAGGUAGUUGGUGGGGGAAAGGCUCACCAAGCCAAAGAUCUGUAGCUGGUGUGAGAGGACGACCGGCCACACUGGGACUGAGACACGGCCUAGACUCCUACGGGAGGCAGCAGUGGGGAAUGUUGGACAAGGGGGGCAAGCCUGAGCCAGCAAUGCCGCGUGCAGGAAGAAGGCCUUCGGGUUGUAAACUGCUUUUGUACGGAACGAAACGGUCCUGGUUAAUACCUGGGGCUAAUGACGGUACCGUAAGAAUAAGCACCGGCUAACUACGUGCCAGCAGCCGCCGCGG
This 498-nucleotide ribosomal RNA is filed under the name uncultured bacterium. RNAcentral's name for it is "partial 16S ribosomal RNA". It matches the Rfam family "Bacterial small subunit ribosomal RNA", at positions 29 to 523 of the family's 1533-position model. The record is from RNAcentral.